UACGUAGGUCGCAAGCGUUAUCCGGAAUUAUUGGGCGUAAAGCGUCCGUAUGCGGUUUUGAAAGUCUGUGGUUAAAUCUUCCUGCUCAACGGGAAAUCCAUCAUGGAAACUCCAAAACUCGAGGUAUGCAGAGGCAGAUGGAAUUUCGGAAGUAGGGGUAAAAUCCGUAGAUCUCCGAAGGAACACCAAACGCGAAGGCAUUCUGCUGGGCAUUACCUGACGCUGAAGGACGAAAGCGCGGGGAGCAAACAGG
RNAcentral lists this ribosomal RNA (253 nucleotides) under uncultured bacterium. Its description in RNAcentral is "partial 16S ribosomal RNA". It matches the Rfam family "Bacterial small subunit ribosomal RNA", at positions 524 to 776 of the family's 1533-position model. The record is from RNAcentral.